Molecule: ribosomal RNA, 468 nt
Filed under: uncultured bacterium
Lineage: Bacteria
Description: partial 16S ribosomal RNA
Rfam family: Bacterial small subunit ribosomal RNA
Source: RNAcentral
GACGAACGCUGGCGGCGCGCCUAACACAUGCAAGUCGAACGGAGUCAAGAGGAGCUUGCUUUUCUUGACUUAGUGGCGAACGGGUGAGUAACGCGUGAGUAACCUGCCCUGGAGUGGGGGACAACAGUUGGAAACGACUGCUAAUACCGCAUAAGCCCACGGAUCUGCAUGGAUCUGCGGGAAAAGGAUUUAUUCGCUAUAGGAUGGACUCGCGUCCAAUUAGCUAGUUGGUGAGGUAACGGCCCACCAAGGCGACGAUUGGUAGCCGGACUGAGAGGUUGAACGGCCACAUUGGGACUGAGACACGGCCCAGACUCCUACGGGAGGCAGCAGUGGGGGAUAUUGCACAAUGGGGGAAACCCUGAUGCAGCGACGCCGCGUGGAGGAAGAAGGUUUUCGGAUUGUAAACUCCUGUCGUUAGGGACGAUAAUGACGGUACCUAACAAGAAAGCACCGGCUAACUACGUG